This 128-nucleotide non-coding RNA is filed under the name Aurantiochytrium limacinum. The record is from RNAcentral. Lineage: Eukaryota; Bigyra; Thraustochytrida; Thraustochytriidae.
AAAAGAAAAACCACUACCUAGCUAAUAAAUAGGUACUCGCUAAAAGAAUAACAUGAAGUGUUGUUCUUUUAUAAACUCUUUUUCCUUUCUUUCUCUCCAUGCCGCUCGCUGUUCUAAAAACAGGGUGG